AGUGAACGCUGGCGGUAGGCCUAACACAUGCCAGUCGAACGACAGCACAGUAAGAGCUUGCUCUUACGGGUGGCGAGUGGCGGACGGGUGAGGAAUACAUCGGAAUCUACUUUUUCGUGGGGGAUAACGUAGGGAAACUUACGCUAAUACCGCAUACGACCUACGGGUGAAAGCAGGGGAUCUUCGGACCUUGCGCGAUUGAAUGAGCCGAUGUCGGAUUAGCUAGUUGGCGGGGUAAAGGCCCACCAAGGCGACGAUCCGUAGCUGGUCUGAGAGGAGGAUCAGCCACACUGGAGCUGAGACACGGUCCAGACUCCUACGGGAGGCAGCAGUGGGGAAUAUUGGACAAUGGGCGCAAGCCUGAUCCAGCCAUACCGCGUGGGUGAAGAAGGCCUUCGGGUUGUAAAGCCCUUUUGUUGGGAAAGAAAAGCAGCAGGUUAAUACCCCGCUGUUCUGACGGUACCCAAAGAAUAAGCACCGGCUAACUUCGUG
RNAcentral lists this ribosomal RNA (492 nucleotides) under uncultured bacterium. RNAcentral describes it as "partial 16S ribosomal RNA". It matches the Rfam family "Bacterial small subunit ribosomal RNA", at positions 29 to 507 of the family's 1533-position model. The record is from RNAcentral.